AUUGAACGCUGGCGGCAGGCCUAACACAUGCAAGUCGAGCGGAUGAAGGGAGCUUGCUCCUGGAUUCAGCGGCGGACGGGUGAGUAAUGCCUAGGAAUCUGCCUGGUAGUGGGGGAUAACGUCCGGAAACGGGCGCUAAUACCGCAUACGUCCUGAGGGAGAAAGUGGGGGAUCUUCGGACCUCACGCUAUCAGAUGAGCCUAGGUCGGAUUAGCUAGUUGGUGGGGUAAAGGCCUACCAAGGCGACGAUCCGUAACUGGUCUGAGAGGAUGAUCAGUCACACUGGAACUGAGACACGGUCCAGACUCCUACGGGAGGCAGCAGUAGGGAAUAUUGGACAAUGGGCGAAAGCCUGAUCCAGCCAUGCCGCGUGUGUGAAGAAGGUCUUCGGAUUGUAAAGCACUUUAAGUUGGGAGGAAGGGAAGUAAGUUAAUACCUUGCUGUUUUGACGGUACCAACAGAAUAAGCACCGGCUAACUACGUG
RNAcentral lists this ribosomal RNA (484 nucleotides) under uncultured bacterium. RNAcentral describes it as "partial 16S ribosomal RNA". It matches the Rfam family "Bacterial small subunit ribosomal RNA", at positions 30 to 507 of the family's 1533-position model. The record is from RNAcentral.